This is a long non-coding RNA of Nanorana parkeri, 95 nucleotides long. RefSeq lists it as uncharacterized. NCBI's taxonomy places the organism in Eukaryota, Metazoa, Chordata, Amphibia, Anura, Dicroglossidae. The transcript is spliced from 3 exons. The record is from RefSeq and is a predicted model, not a curated record.
UAACCUCCCUGGCGGUAAUCCCGAGUGUGGCUCGGGGGUUAAUUUUCAUUACCAAAAGCGGUAUCCCCCGAGCCACGCUCUGGGUAGACUUUCUA